Molecule: ribosomal RNA, 253 nt
Filed under: uncultured bacterium
Lineage: Bacteria
Description: partial 16S ribosomal RNA
Rfam family: Bacterial small subunit ribosomal RNA
Source: RNAcentral
UACGUAGGGUGCAAGCGUUACUCGGAAUUACUGGGCGUAAAGCGCACGUAGGCGGACUCUUAAGUCGGUGGUGAAAUCCUGGAGCUCAACUCCAGAACUGCCUUCGAUACUGAGAGUCUCGAGUCCGGGAGAGGUGAGUGGAACUGCGAGUGUAGAAGUGAAAUUCGUAGAUAUUCGCAAGAACACCAGUGGCGAAGGCGGCUCACUGGCCCGGUACUGACGCUGAGGUGCGAAAGCGUGGGGAGCAAACAGG